GCCAAGACCCAGUCCUAUAGGGACAGACUGAUUAUGGAUGCGCCAUCCCCCUUAAACAUGUAGAUUUCUCCGGGUAAACAACCAAUGGGGAGAUCUCGCCAGGCAGGAUUUCUUUCCCCAGGGAAAUAUCCUGUGUUUCGGUGUCCUGAAAGCACAAGAAUGACAAAACUGUACUCAGUAAAUAACUUGCCCAAAGUCACACAAUUGCUGUUGGCUUAGCAGGCAGGAGCACUCACUGACAGCAUGGUGUCUCCUGAGUCCCCCCAGCCCCACGCCAUCUCUGUCCCAGACCCACAGCAGCCUGAGUCGUUCACUGUGAAACCGAGUCGCUGGGAAUGUAGUCAACAUCGAUCGGCAGGGCAGACGAAGAAGAAAGGCUCUGUGUGAGCCAGCACGUUGUUUUCCUUCAGGAAUUCCUUUUUAAUUUUACUAGUUUUUCCAUUGUCUGGCAUUUCUAAUAUGGUCACAAAAUAAAAAGGCAAUUAUUUACCUCUCUUUCCUAUCUACAGCACUCUAAGCCUCCGGUCUAAUAUGAUUUCCAUUUAGAAAAUAUUUAUGUAGCCAUUUACAAGGCCUUAUAAAGCUAAGGCAUGCCAAGAUAGCUCAGAUGUUCAAUUUACUGUGGCUAGGCUCAGUUGGCACUAAAUCAAAAGGUUUUACUAUCUAAUUUUAAUGUCAAUAUUCAUAUUUGUACACAUACACGCAAUAGACAGGCACACACUGUAUGUGGUGCGCAAUUGUCUUUAGGUAUGUGUGGCUAUUUCGAUGCACAGGGUACUUGCAUACCGACUGGCUAGUAAGUCACCGAGAUCAACUUGUAAUACCCCAGAAGAGAAAUGGCCUCCUGCUACUUAUCACAUGUCCUGUUAAAAUGUCCCUUCCCUUGAUCAUCUCCUCUCACAUAUCAAAUCUGAGAGGAGUAUUUUUAGAUCAUAGGUAUUUGAGUUGC
This is a non-coding RNA of Vicugna pacos (alpaca), 949 nucleotides long. The record is from RefSeq and is a predicted model, not a curated record. Lineage: Eukaryota; Metazoa; Chordata; Mammalia; Artiodactyla; Camelidae.